GAUCCAAAUUUAGGUUAGAGUAGAUUAGUAGGAUCAGCUGAUCCUAUUAAUCCACUCUAUUUAAAAUUUGGACCA
This 75-nucleotide microRNA precursor is filed under the name Haemonchus placei. RNAcentral's name for it is "mir-5928 microRNA precursor family". It matches the Rfam family "mir-5928 microRNA precursor family". Lineage: Eukaryota; Metazoa; Nematoda; Chromadorea; Rhabditida; Trichostrongylidae. The record is from Rfam by way of RNAcentral.